Molecule: ribosomal RNA, 503 nt
Filed under: Salmonella enterica
Lineage: Bacteria; Pseudomonadati; Pseudomonadota; Gammaproteobacteria; Enterobacterales; Enterobacteriaceae
Description: bacterial SSU rRNA
Rfam family: Bacterial small subunit ribosomal RNA
Source: RNAcentral
UGGCUCAGAUUGAACGCUGGCGGCAGGCCUAACACAUGCAAGUCGAACGGUAACAGGAAGCAGCUUGCUGCUUUGCUGACGAGUGGCGGACGGGUGAGUAAUGUCUGGGAAACUGCCUGAUGGAGGGGGAUAACUACUGGAAACGGUGGCUAAUACCGCAUAACGUCGCAAGACCAAAGAGGGGGACCUUCGGGCCUCUUGCCAUCAGAUGUGCCCAGAUGGGAUUAGCUUGUUGGUGAGGUAACGGCUCACCAAGGCGACGAUCCCUAGCUGGUCUGAGAGGAUGACCAGCCACACUGGAACUGAGACACGGUCCAGACUCCUACGGGAGGCAGCAGUGGGGAAUAUUGCACAAUGGGCGCAAGCCUGAUGCAGCCAUGCCGCGUGUAUGAAGAAGGCCUUCGGGUUGUAAAGUACUUUCAGCGGGGAGGAAGGUGUUGUGGUUAAUAACCGCAGCAAUUGACGUUACCCGCAGAAGAAGCACCGGCUAACUCCGUGCCAGC